Long non-coding RNA from Mustela erminea (ermine), 1182 nucleotides. RefSeq lists it as uncharacterized. Lineage: Eukaryota; Metazoa; Chordata; Mammalia; Carnivora; Mustelidae. The transcript is spliced from 5 exons. The record is from RefSeq and is a predicted model, not a curated record.
UUUUACAUUAAUGAUUAACUGGCAGUGAUCUGUGUACAUCAGUCACCCAGCCAUCCGUGUACACCUAAGUAGGGAAGGUUCAGAAGUAUCUUUUGUGACUUUGUGAUGAUUCCUACUCUGACUGGUGAGAGGAUAUGGCAAGAGUUUAGUCAGAUUGCUGGUACUCAACUAAGAGAGGGCCAAGCCAUUUAUAUUCUCUUAAUGAGUCCUAUUUAAUUACUGCGUUUAAAAAGUGUAUUUGUUUAAGAUGAUCCACCUGAGGAAGUACAAAUUUAUGAUUUUGUAGUUCAAACACCAUUUCAAUUGUUGAUUUAGUGGAAAUUGUUCCUAACUCCUGGAUUAGCAACAAUGAUUUGCUUCCAGAAUGCUUUGUAAUUUAGAAGUAGAGCAUUACAUGUACAGGAAAAUUAAAUCAGCUGGAUAAUUAGAACAACUGAGAAUGAAAAACAGUACAUCCAAGUGUGUGCUUCCAAGUCACCCAAGUGGCCAUCACUGGGGAUUGAUGGACACUCAGCUCCUCAGAUGCUGUAGGGUCAGCAUGUGCUGGGCUGUUGCACGUCUGGGACCGGAUGCAGCAGGUUCCUUGCUUGUGGCUGGUGGAGCCGGAAGAGGUUUGCAUGGACCAGUCGCUGUGUCUGUGGAGACUCAGGCGUGCUUACCUCCUCAUCUCAUCCCCUCUUAGAGGGGCUAGACAGCUGGAGUCUAUUUAACACAUUUUCGUCUGUUCAUUUUGAUAUAAUCUAGAUGUUAACGGACUUAGAUGGAAACAGGAAGAGAUGGAUUUUGGUCAAAUGGAAAAGAUACUCCGUAGAGGCCCUGCACCAUGUGUUACAAAUACACAGCAUGAAAUCAACCUCAUGAACCUAUGUCUGGCCAUAGUCUAGAGCCACCCGUGGGAGAUGAGCCUUAGGAGCCUCCACACAUGUAAAUGCACCCUCAAGAGAAAUCUGCCUGCACCUGUCCCCCAAGGGAUGAACUUAUUUACAAAUAAAGUUUAAAAGCAGACAAUUGGGAACUGGAGCUGUGGUAAAGGCCUCUAGUUCGUCUCUUGUCUAAUGGCUACCAAGGCUUCCUCGGUGGCCUCCACCCUCCAGUCUCUUCUUCUAAGACUGCCUGUGCAAAUACAAGGCAAACCUUCCCAUUCCCAUUGCAAGGAUCCAGCUCAAAUAUCACGCUGCGAGA